Columba livia (rock pigeon) is the source of this 1159-nucleotide long non-coding RNA. RefSeq lists it as uncharacterized. The transcript is spliced from 2 exons. NCBI's taxonomy places the organism in Eukaryota, Metazoa, Chordata, Aves, Columbiformes, Columbidae. The record is from RefSeq and is a predicted model, not a curated record.
GGCGGGGUGGCAGCAGCGCAGGAGUCAGCGGCCAGACACACCGGAGCCGCCGCUCCGAGCUGCUAAUUGCCCACAGCCAGCUCAUUAACGGGCACCGGCACCAGCGCUGCCCCCGCUCCCGCAGCGCGGCCCGGCGGGAGCCCCGGGCGCGGGAGCCCCGGGCGCGGGACAGGAGCACCCAACACCCAACACCCCGGCGGGGCCGCCCGGGGCGGCUCCCGCUCAGCGCUGGAUGCAGGAGUCACACCUGAGCCAGGCAACAUUUGGAGGUUAUUGCAGCAAAUCAAAGAGGGAAAUCACUCACCCUGCUCCUCUUCCCUGCCGUGGGGUAUGGUCAGACCAGACACAGCCCGGCUCCUUCUCCAGGUGUUGCCUGCACUGCUCUUCAGGAGGUCAUUUUCCACCAGUGCCAGCGAUGACGACCAGCAGCACCACGGCCAUUAGGGAGGGAGGUCCCUGCGAGCCCCGCGGUGCCAUUCCCGGGCACUGGGCUGAGCCCCCGCACACCUGGGCACAGGGGGCUCCUCAGCCCGGCCAGCGCAGGGACCUGAGACAAGAACCAGGGACAGGGACCAGGGACAGGGACCUGCUGAUGCUGUUACCCACAGCUGCCCUGCUCAGGAACACAACCAAACAUUCAGCCUCACAGAACAAUUUACAGAGGUGUAAUGUGAUCAGCCAGAUCAAGGUCCAUAAUGCCAAAAAUGCCCCCCUUUCAGAAAAAUAAGUGAAGAACAGAUCAUGACUGUCCAUCACAGCUGCAGUUUAGAGCGUAGCUGCAGCUUUUCUGGCACUAGGCUGCCAACAGCCCGUUCCUGGAGACAAAGACCCUGUCCCAGGGAUUCCAUCACACCUGCCCCAAGCGCAGCUGCCCAGAGACCCCUGACCCGCUGCUGCCGUAGCGGCUGCGAUUCAUUUCUGUGACACUUCACUUGUGGGGAGUCUGAGACGUUCGCCUGCGCUCCAUCAGUUGUUAGUUACAGAUGUCAUGUUUCUGCCUCAAACAAGGCAUUCUGACUUUUCAUAGACUAACAGCGGCUUUUUUCCUCACCUUUUAUUGAUUUAUAGGAUUCAUAUUAAAUAUGAUAGUUGCAAUAAUUCACCAGUAGUCUAUUAUUAUUAUAUACAAAAAUCUACAAAUAAAAUGUAAAUGUGCAAA